GGUUGCAAGCGUUAAUCGGAUUUACUGGGCGUAAAGCGUGUGUAGGUGGUUAUACAAGUCGGUUGUGAAAUCCCUGGGCUCAACCUGGGAACUGCUUCCGAGACUGCAUGACUAGAGAUCGGUAGAGGGCGGUGGAAUUUCCGGUGUAGCGGUGAAAUGCGUAGAUAUCGGAAGGAACACCAAUGGCGAAGGCAGCCGCCUGGGCCUGAUCUGACACUGAGACACGAAAGCGUGGGGAUCAAACAGGAUUAGAUACCCUGGUAGUCCACGCCGUAAACGAUGGGUACUUGACGUCGGUACGCUCUGCGUAUCGGUGUCGCAGCUAACGCGAUAAGUACCCCGCCUGGGGAGUACGGCCGCAAGGUUG
RNAcentral lists this ribosomal RNA (367 nucleotides) under uncultured bacterium. Its description in RNAcentral is "bacterial SSU rRNA". It matches the Rfam family "Bacterial small subunit ribosomal RNA", at positions 530 to 896 of the family's 1533-position model. The record is from RNAcentral.